GGGCAUGCCUAGUACGGCGAGUGAGCGGCAACAGCUCAAAUUUGAAAUCUGGGUCUCUUAUGAGAUCCCGAAUUGUAAUUUGCAGAGGAAACUUUGGUGCAGUCUGGGUCUAAGUUCCUUGGAACAGGACAUCACAGAGGGUGAGRAUCCCGUAUGUGGCUUAAGACAGGUACCGUGUAAAGUUCCUUCAAUGAGUCGAGUUGUUUGGGAAUGCAGCUCAAAAUGGGAGGUAAAUUUCUUCUAAAGCUAAAUAUUGGCCAGAGACCGAUAGCGAACAAGUAGAGUGAUCGAAAGAUGAAAAGCACUUUGGAAAGAGAGUUAAACAGUAUGUGAAAUUGCUGAAAGGGAAGCGCUUGCAAUCAGACUUGUGUGUGGCUGUUCAGCCUGGCUUUUUGUCAGGUGUAUUCAGUUGCUAACAGGCCAGCAUCAGUUUGGAUGGCAGGAAAAAGACUCAUUGAACGUAGCUCCAUUUCGUCAGAUUUAGAGUGUUAUAGCUUUGGGUGUCAUGCUGUCAAUCCGGACUGAGGAUCGCGUCCUUGUGGCUCGGAUGCUGGCGUAAUGGUUGUAAGCGGCCCGUCUUGAAACACGGACCAAGGAGUCUAACAUCUGUGCGAGUGUUUGGGUGUCAAGCCCACACGCGUAAUGAAAGUGAACGGAGGUGGGAACCCCCUCGGGGAUGCACCAUCGACCGAUCCUGAUGUCUCGGAUGGAUGAGUAAGGACACGUCU
Molecule: ribosomal RNA, 728 nt
Filed under: Pyxidiophora sp.
Lineage: Eukaryota; Fungi; Ascomycota; Laboulbeniomycetes; Pyxidiophorales; Pyxidiophoraceae
Description: partial large subunit ribosomal RNA
Source: RNAcentral